AUUGAACGCUGGCGGAAUGCUUUACACAUGCAAGUCGAACGGCAGCACGGGUGCUUGCACCUGGUGGCGAGUGGCGAACGGGUGAGUAAUACAUCGGAACGUGCCCAAUCGUGGGGAAUAACGCAGCGAAAGCUGUGCUAAUACCGCAUAAGAUCUACGGAUGAAAGCAGGGGAUCGCAAGACCUUGCGCGAAUGGAGCG
This 200-nucleotide ribosomal RNA is filed under the name uncultured bacterium. RNAcentral's name for it is "partial 16S ribosomal RNA". It matches the Rfam family "Bacterial small subunit ribosomal RNA", at positions 30 to 228 of the family's 1533-position model. The record is from RNAcentral.